This is a non-coding RNA of Paramuricea clavata, 255 nucleotides long. Lineage: Eukaryota; Metazoa; Cnidaria; Anthozoa; Malacalcyonacea; Plexauridae. The record is from the annotation of a GenBank genome assembly.
UGGGUUUAAAGAUAUAGCGAUUAUAUAGGCUUGUGAUUGGGAUCAAGAAAUGUAUAUGUGCGGGAAAUAUAGCUAGGAGGUUUAAAUUAAUAACCAAGCAUGGAAAUGAGGCCAUGCAUUGGGAAACAUUUGUAUACAACAUGUUCUUCCCGACUUGGAGAUUUGUAAUGUACGUGCAAUAUAUAAUUAUUAACUAAUUACGAGUAUUUUAUACACAGAGAGCUUUAUUGUUGGAAAGUUUUUAUAAUAUUCGAG